Symsagittifera roscoffensis is the source of this 1281-nucleotide RNA transcript. RefSeq lists it as uncharacterized. The transcript is spliced from 3 exons. Lineage: Eukaryota; Metazoa; Xenacoelomorpha; Acoela; Convolutidae. The record is from RefSeq and is a predicted model, not a curated record.
CUUAUAGCCACCCGUGAAAACGCUAUUAGAAUUACAUGCAUUUGAUAGUUAGUUAUGUGGAAAACACUUUGCACAGAAGAAAAAUUUCAAAAUCAUCAAGCGAGUGGCAAUUGUAGUGGUUCCGGGAGCAUUAGUUGGUCUAAUUUUGGCAUCAUUUUAUUGUGGGUUUAGAAAAGCAGAUGGCAUUUAUGUGAUGCAAAACAUUCUGACUGGAUUCAUUGUUCUAGCAAUUGUACUUCUUCUGAACUUCAAGAAUUUAGGAGCUGCAAUUGUGACUAUCGUCAUCAAAUCAGUUUCUACAGUCAUAUUUAUGAACAUUACUUACUAUCAUGAAAACAGUCUUUUCUACCAUAGUUUAUUUCUCAAACCCCGAAAUACGGCUGAAAAAAUACCUUUUUGUGAAAAAGUUAUCCAAAAUGGAAAAACAGUAUUGUUUGAUUGUGCAGAAUCAGUUUUCCAAGAGAAGUCGCCUUUUAUGUUCUUCUUCACUUUCGCCGUGCAAGAGUGUUUGUGUCAGGUUCCCCUUUACUUCUUCAAUAGUAUGAGGCAAAUGUUAGUGGCUAUCAUGUUUGCCAUGUUUUGCUUGAUUUACAAUGAAGAACAUUCGAGCAAACCUUCAGUCUGGUUCACAAUAUCCAUCAUUUUUGCGUCGACGUUCGGAGUUUCGAUAGAGACUAUUUUCUUUUACGAAACAAAUGGGGGAAUUGAUUUCUUCAACUUCGCCCUGCUCCUCGCCAUGCUCCUCUCGGUGGCAGGAAAAAGACGAGAAGUGAAGAAUCUGUUCUGCGGUUGGGAGAGAAGCGAAUAUUACGAUGUGUUACGAACGACGACAGAGGUAAACUCGCACAUGCUUUGCGCUCCAUUAGAAUCGAGAGCCGAAACACUUUUACACGUUCGGUUUCCUCAACACCGAUUGCUCAGAGCGAGUAGCAUGACAUCUAUUCUGUACGACUAUCUGGAUUAUGAAGGGACAUUCUUGCACUCCCGAUCUAUGAUCAACCAUGAUCUAAACAUCAGGGGGGUUGACUGUUAGAACAUAAGAGUAAUUGCGAUCAGCGAAAAAAAAUAAGUCUUUCAGGAAGCUUAAGCAAACUUAAGAUAAUGAAAACGUUAUUCAGUGUUCACUUAAUUGGGUCGCGCAUUUUAUUGUUCAUUCAAAAGUAAGUUGAGCUUGUUGUUCACUUUGACUGUUUGAGUUUGAAAAUAAAAUGCAACAAGACUGCUCGUAUCAAGGCGAAGCCCUGAAAAUUCUGACUGCCUUUUAAGGUUUGUAGAGCAGUA